Long non-coding RNA from Heterocephalus glaber (naked mole-rat), 2006 nucleotides. The record is from Ensembl. Lineage: Eukaryota; Metazoa; Chordata; Mammalia; Rodentia; Bathyergidae.
CCUUUCUGGCAUCCGUGGGAGAACAGAGAAGUCCUGAGGCCUAGAGAACCAGGAGGCAGCAGCAGCAGGAGGAGUUGUCCUUCUCUUCAGUGAAGAUCUGGCUUUGGAAGACGUAGAAUCAGAAAGUGUCAGAGCUGCAAGGGCAUGUAAGAAGGCACACACCCCAGCCCCCGAAGCUUCACUUGCCUCUGCCACAGCCCAGCGUGUGGCCCUCUGCCAGUGCUGACUCCUUCCGUGAGAGAGAUGCUCUCUUCCUGCCAAUGCUGGCAGCUGCAUUUGGGGCUGUUUGAUUCGCAGGUCUUCUCAUGAAAUUCUACCCGACUAUCAGUCCCUUGGGAUCCUGUAAACCAGCAUUCCAUGAUGGCCCAGGACACAUGGGAAGACACAUUUUACAGCUCCCAAACCUCUACCCCUGUGCCCUGAGCAUUCUCUGGGCCCUCAACAAGGUGAGCAUGCGACCAUGCAGAUGAGGACAAGACUGCCUGGAGGCUUCGCUUGUCAAGCUCUUUUUGAAUCCUGAUUUUGUCUCACAAGCCCAUGUAACCUACAGGGUCACUGUGCCUUCUUUUGGUCGAAUUCUGAGGUUGGGAGAAGAGGAGUUCUGCUUCUCUAUACCUCCCCGGAGCAGGUGGGGUCCAAAUGGCCCUUUCAAGAGGGUAGGUAGAGCCUGCAGGAACAAUCGUGUGCUGUCCAAACCCUGGGCCUGGAGGGAAAUCCAGACACACUGUCCAAAGGACAUGACUAGCAUUGGCCCCAGAUGGCCCAUGUGUUUCCAAAGGAAGAGCAUGGAUUCUUCCUCUGGAGGUUGUGAGGGAAGCAACCAAGGGCCUGGCAGGCAAGAAGCCAAGGUCUAGGAAGCUCUCCUAAAGCCUACAUACAGCUCUCUGGAGUGUGCAAAGGAGGGGCUGUGUUCAGGAAGCAAACCUAGUGGGAAGAAGACAGGAAGCACAACAGAAUACCAGGCCAGACGGAGUGGGCUUUGCCGAGCUUUUGGCAGGAAGAGUUGAGGGACGAAAGCUUCCUGCUGAGGCCAGUGCUGACAACUUGCCGAUUGACUUCCCAGGAGGAGAUGGGUUCAGGGUUGAGAUGGGCAGUGCUGAAGAUGAUCCACCUGGACGUGGUUGCAAGAAAUGAUGGAGCCAGAGCUGAAAAUGAGAAUGGAAAGAACGCACACCGUCACCGUGACUCCAGUGAGCUGGACGUGGUAGUGCACUCCUGUCAUCCCCGCACUCUAGAAGGCUGAGUGAGGCAGGAUUGCAAGUUCAAGCCCAGCCUGGGCAACGUGUGACUUAGAAAGAACUUCUUUCAAAGUUUCAAAAAAAAAAUAAAAAGGGUGCUGGGGAUGCAGCUAGUUGUGAAGGCCCUGGGUUCAAUCCCCAGUACUGAAGAAGGAGGGGAGGAGGAAGAGGAGAAGGAGACAGCUCCAGUGAGAGUGGUGCAGAGGACACAGCCCAGGACAAGGCCGAGCACAUACUAAGGACAUGUGCUGGAAUCAGAGCUCAACACGCCCAGAUGCAUCGCACUUAGACUGUCAUUUACCCAUCUGAAGGGACAGAGUGGGGGAGAAAAUCAAAGGCCUUGUUGGAUUUUACUAACACUGUCACCCACCCCGCCAAGUCUGCCCCAUUCCUAAAUCACAAAGGAAAUGAAGCUACUUCUUUGGCAUAGUUUAAAUUGAACCCCAUGCCAAAUUCUAGUUCCCUAUUACUUUCACCAUAAUGUUGUUCAGCCAUUAAAAUGCUAUGUUAUCUGAGUUCAGGCUUGUUUUCUAAGAACAAAAAAGUAAUUCAUUUGCUUAAACAUUCUAAAAGCCUCUAGUACAGUUGUGUAAAGUGUACCUCUACCCUACCAAAGGAAUGCUUGCUCCUCUUUGGUCUGACACACUCCCAGUCUUGUGACCUUGAAAGACUCCUGGCCUCAUCCAUGAGUCCAGCUGCUCAGCAUCUGAAAUUCCUUCAGGCCAGGCCUAUAGAGCAACCACCUCUCUCUCGGAAGAAGUGACAAAC